This 70-nucleotide transfer RNA is filed under the name Capra hircus (goat). It matches the Rfam family "tRNA". From Rfam's summary of the family: Transfer RNA (tRNA) molecules are approximately 80 nucleotides in length. Their secondary structure includes four short double-helical elements and three loops (D, anti-codon, and T loops). Further hydrogen bonds mediate the characteristic L-shaped molecular structure. tRNAs have two regions of fundamental functional importance: the anti-codon, which is responsible for specific mRNA codon recognition, and the 3' end, to which the tRNAs corresponding amino acid is attached (by aminoacyl-tRNA synthetases). tRNAs cope with the degeneracy of the genetic code in two manners: having more than one tRNA (with a specific anti-codon) for a particular amino acid; and 'wobble' base-pairing, i.e. permitting non-standard base-pairing at the 3rd anti-codon position. Lineage: Eukaryota; Metazoa; Chordata; Mammalia; Artiodactyla; Bovidae. RNAcentral also lists the same sequence under 1 other name. The record is from Rfam by way of RNAcentral.
UCCCUGGUGGUUCAGUGGUUAAGACUGCGCUUCCACUGCAGGGGUGCGGGUUUGAUCCCUGCUCAGGGAA